This 1375-nucleotide ribosomal RNA is filed under the name Lacticaseibacillus rhamnosus. Its description in RNAcentral is "bacterial SSU rRNA". It matches the Rfam family "Bacterial small subunit ribosomal RNA", at positions 59 to 1399 of the family's 1533-position model. The record is from RNAcentral. Lineage: Bacteria; Bacillati; Bacillota; Bacilli; Lactobacillales; Lactobacillaceae.
CAGUCGAACGAGUUCUGAUUAUUGAAAGGUGCUUGCAUCUUGAUUUAAUUUUGAACGAGUGGCGGACGGGUGAGUAACACGUGGGUAACCUGCCCUUAAGUGGGGGAUAACAUUUGGAAACAGAUGCUAAUACCGCAUAAAUCCAAGAACCGCAUGGUUCUUGGCUGAAAGAUGGCGUAAGCUAUCGCUUUUGGAUGGACCCGCGGCGUAUUAGCUAGUUGGUGAGGUAACGGCUCACCAAGGCAAUGAUACGUAGCCGAACUGAGAGGUUGAUCGGCCACAUUGGGACUGAGACACGGCCCAAACUCCUACGGGAGGCAGCAGUAGGGAAUCUUCCACAAUGGACGCAAGUCUGAUGGAGCAACGCCGCGUGAGUGAAGAAGGCUUUCGGGUCGUAAAACUCUGUUGUUGGAGAAGAAUGGUCGGCAGAGUAACUGUUGUCGGCGUGACGGUAUCCAACCAGAAAGCCACGGCUAACUACGUGCCAGCAGCCGCGGUAAUACGUAGGUGGCAAGCGUUAUCCGGAUUUAUUGGGCGUAAAGCGAGCGCAGGCGGUUUUUUAAGUCUGAUGUGAAAGCCCUCGGCUUAACCGAGGAAGUGCAUCGGAAACUGGGAAACUUGAGUGCAGAAGAGGACAGUGGAACUCCAUGUGUAGCGGUGAAAUGCGUAGAUAUAUGGAAGAACACCAGUGGCGAAGGCGGCUGUCUGGUCUGUAACUGACGCUGAGGCUCGAAAGCAUGGGUAGCGAACAGGAUUAGAUACCCUGGUAGUCCAUGCCGUAAACGAUGAAUGCUAGGUGUUGGAGGGUUUCCGCCCUUCAGUGCCGCAGCUAACGCAUUAAGCAUUCCGCCUGGGGAGUACGACCGCAAGGUUGAAACUCAAAGGAAUUGACGGGGGCCCGCACAAGCGGUGGAGCAUGUGGUUUAAUUCGAAGCAACGCGAAGAACCUUACCAGGUCUUGACAUCUUUUGAUCACCUGAGAGAUCAGGUUUCCCCUUCGGGGGCAAAAUGACAGGUGGUGCAUGGUUGUCGUCAGCUCGUGUCGUGAGAUGUUGGGUUAAGUCCCGCAACGAGCGCAACCCUUAUGACUAGUUGCCAGCAUUUAGUUGGGCACUCUAGUAAGACUGCCGGUGACAAACCGGAGGAAGGUGGGGAUGACGUCAAAUCAUCAUGCCCCUUAUGACCUGGGCUACACACGUGCUACAAUGGAUGGUACAACGAGUUGCGAGACCGCGAGGUCAAGCUAAUCUCUUAAAGCCAUUCUCAGUUCGGACUGUAGGCUGCAACUCGCCUACACGAAGUCGGAAUCGCUAGUAAUCGCGGAUCAGCACGCCGCGGUGAAUACGUUCCCGGGCCUUGUACACACCGCCCGUCA